AAUGCUGCAUAAUGCGAUAUGUAAUGUGAGAUUGCAGAAUUCAGUGAAUCAUCGAAUCUUUGAACGCACAAUGCGCCCGCCAGUAUUCUGGCGGGCAUGCCUGUUCGAGCGUCAUUUCAACCCUCAAGCCCCUCCGGGUGCUUGGUGUUGGAGACCGGCGAACCCGGCCCCUCCCCGGGGCCCCGGGCGCCGCCUCCCAAAUCCAGUGGCGGUCUCGCCGCAGCCUUCCCUGCGUAGUAGCAUCUUAUUUCGCAUGGGAGAGCGGCGCGGCCACGCCGUUAAACACCCCACUUCUGAACGGUUGACCUCGGAUCAGGUAGGACUACCCGCUGAACUUAAGCAUAUCAAUAAGCGGAGGAA
RNAcentral lists this ribosomal RNA (360 nucleotides) under uncultured fungus. RNAcentral's name for it is "eukaryotic LSU rRNA". The stretch from base 1 to 114 matches the Rfam family "5.8S ribosomal RNA", at positions 42 to 154 of the family's 154-position model. The record is from RNAcentral. Lineage: Eukaryota; Fungi.